AACGCUAGCUACAGGCUUAACACAUGCAAGUCGAGGGGCAGCAUUUUAGUUUGCUUGCAAACUGAAGAUGGCGACCGGCGCACGGGUGAGUAACACGUAUCCAACCUGCCGAUAACUCCGGAAUAGCCUUUCGAAAGAAAGAUUAAUACCGGAUAGCAUACGAAUAUCGCAUGAUAUUUUUAUUAAAGAAUUUCGGUUAUCGAUGGGGAUGCGUUCCAUUAGUUUGUUGGCGGGGUAACGGCCCACCAAGACUACGAUGGAUAGGGGUUCUGAGAGGAAGGUCCCCCACAUUGGAACUGAGACACGGUCCAAACUCCUACGGGAGGCAGCAGUGAGGAAUAUUGGUCAAUGGGCGAGAGCCUGAACCAGCCAAGUAGCGUGAAGGAUGAAGGCUCUAUGGGUCGUAAACUUCUUUUAUAUGGGAAUAAAGUUUUCCACGUGUGGAAUUUUGUAUGUACCAUAUGAAUAAGGAUCGGCUAACUCCGUGCCAGCAGCCGCGGUAAUACGGAGGAUCCGAGCGUUAUCCGGAUUUAUUGGGUUUAAAGGGAGCGUAGGUGGAUUGUUAAGUCAGUUGUGAAAGUUUGCGGCUCAACCGUAAAAUUGCAGUUGAAACUGGCAGUCUUGAGUACAGUAGAGGUGGGCGGAAUUCGUGGUGUAGCGGUGAAAUGCUUAGAUAUCACGAAGAACUCCGAUUGCGAAGGCAGCUCACUAGACUGUCACUGACACUGAUGCUCGAAAGUGUGGGUAUCAAACAGGAUUAGAUACCCUGGUAGUCCACACAGUAAACGAUGAAUACUCGCUGUUUGCGAUAUACAGUAAGCGGCCAAGCGAAAGCAUUAAGUAUUCCACCUGGGGAGUACGCCGGCAACGGUGAAACUCAAAGGAAUUGACGGGGGCCCGCACAAGCGGAGGAACAUGUGGUUUAAUUCGAUGAUACGCGAGGAACCUUACCCGGGCUUAAAUUGCAACAGAAUAUAUUGGAAACAGUAUAGCCGUAAGGCUGUUGUGAAGGUGCUGCAUGGUUGUCGUCAGCUCGUGCCGUGAGGUGUCGGCUUAAGUGCCAUAACGAGCGCAACCCUUAUCUUUAGUUACUAACAGGUCAUGCUGAGGACUCUAGAGAGACUGCCGUCGUAAGAUGUGAGGAAGGUGGGGAUGACGUCAAAUCAGCACGGCCCUUACGUCCGGGGCUACACACGUGUUACAAUGGGGGGUACAGAAGGCGGCUACCUGGUGACAGGAUGCUAAUCCCAAAAACCUCUCUCAGUUCGGAUCGAAGUCUGCAACCCGACUUCGUGAAGCUGGAUUCGCUAGUAAUCGCGCAUCAGCCAUGGCGCGGUGAAUACGUUCCCGGGCCUUGUACACACCGCCCGUCAAGCCAUGAAAGCCGGGGGUACCUGAAGUACGUAACCGCAAGGAGCGUCCUAGGGUAAAACUGGUAAUUGGGGCUAAGUC
RNAcentral lists this ribosomal RNA (1452 nucleotides) under uncultured organism. RNAcentral describes it as "SSU rRNA". It matches the Rfam family "Bacterial small subunit ribosomal RNA". The record is from RNAcentral.